CAGCCGCCGCGGGAAUACGUAGGGUGCAAGCGUUAAUCGGAAUUACUGGGCGUAAAGCGUGCGCAGGCGGUUAUAUAAGACAGAUGUGAAAUCCCCGGGCUCAACCUGGGAACUGCAUUUGUGACUGUAUAGCUAGAGUACGGCAGAGGGGGAUGGAAUUCCGCGUGUAGCAGUGAAAUGCGUAGAUAUGCGGAGGAACACCGAUGGCGAAGGCAAUCCCCUGGGCCUGUACUGACGCUCAUGCACGAAAGCGUGGGGAGCAAACAGGAUUAGAUACCCCCGUAGUCCCUGUCUCUUAUAA
Molecule: ribosomal RNA, 301 nt
Filed under: uncultured bacterium
Lineage: Bacteria
Description: partial 16S ribosomal RNA
Rfam family: Bacterial small subunit ribosomal RNA
Source: RNAcentral